Molecule: ribosomal RNA, 482 nt
Filed under: uncultured bacterium
Lineage: Bacteria
Description: bacterial SSU rRNA
Rfam family: Bacterial small subunit ribosomal RNA
Source: RNAcentral
UUGAACGCUGGCGGAAUGCUUUACACAUGCAAGUCGGGCGGCAGCGCGGGGGCAACCCUGGCGGCGAGCGGCGAACGGGUGAGUAACAUAUCGGAACGUACCCAGACGUGGGGGACAACUAGUCGAAAGACUAGCUAAUACCGCAUACGUCCUGAGGGAGAAAGCGGGGGAUCGCAAGACCUCGCGCGUUUGGAGCGGCCGAUAUCUGAUUAGCUAGAUGGUGGGGUAAAGGCCCACCAUGGCGACGAUCAGUAGCUGGUCUGCGAGGAUGAUCAGCCACACUGGAACUGAGACACGGUCCAGACUCCUACGGGAGGCAGCAGUGGGGAAUUUUGGACAAUGGGGGCAACCCUGAUCCAGCCAUUCCGCGUGAGUGAAGAAGGCCUUCGGGUUGUAAAGCUCUUUCAGCAGGAACGAAACGGUGGCCCCUAAUACGGGCUACUAAUGACGGUACCUGAAGAAGAAGCACCGGCUAACUACGU